UACGGGGGGGGCAAGCGUUGUUCGGAAUUACUGGGCGUAAAGGGCUCGUAGGCGGCCAACUAAGUCGGAUGUGAAAUCCCCAGGCUCAACCUGGGAACUGCAUCCGAUACUGGAUGGCUUGAAUUCGGGAGAGGGAUGCAGAAUUCCAGGUGUAGCGGUGAAAUGCGUAGAUAUCUGGAGGAAUACCGGUGGCGAAGGCGGCAUCCUGGACCGGCAUUGACGCUGAACAGCGAAAGCUAGGGGAGCAAACGGG
This 253-nucleotide ribosomal RNA is filed under the name uncultured bacterium. RNAcentral describes it as "partial 16S ribosomal RNA". It matches the Rfam family "Bacterial small subunit ribosomal RNA", at positions 524 to 776 of the family's 1533-position model. The record is from RNAcentral.